RNAcentral lists this ribosomal RNA (385 nucleotides) under Pontogammarus sarsi. RNAcentral's name for it is "partial 16S ribosomal RNA". The stretch from base 241 to 385 matches the Rfam family "Bacterial large subunit ribosomal RNA", at positions 2473 to 2619 of the family's 2925-position model. Lineage: Eukaryota; Metazoa; Arthropoda; Malacostraca; Amphipoda; Pontogammaridae. The record is from RNAcentral.
UUGGAAACUAGUAUGAAAGGUUUAAUUAAUUAAAUUUAUUUGGUUUUUAAAUAAUAAAAUAAAUGUAAAGUAAGAAUUCUUUAAUAAAUUAGGGGACGAUAAGACCCUAAAAGCUUUAUAAACAGUAAUUAGUUAGUGUUUUUGGUGUUGUUAAUUGACUGGGGAAGUAGUUUUAGAUUUAGAUUAAAAUAAUGAUAGGAGAUCCCUUAUUUAAGGAUUAAAUAUGUGAGUUACUUUAGGGAUAACAGUGCAAUAUACUUGGGGAGACCGCGUCUAUAAGUAUGGUUGCAACCUCGAUGUUGAAUUAGGAUAUCUAUGUGUGCAGAAUAUACAUAAGAAAGUUUGUUCAACUUUUAAAUUUUUACAUGAUCUGAGUUCAAACCGG